This 1839-nucleotide long non-coding RNA is filed under the name Marmota monax (woodchuck). The record is from RNAcentral. Lineage: Eukaryota; Metazoa; Chordata; Mammalia; Rodentia; Sciuridae.
GUCAAGGAGCCCACUGUGAUUGAUGCUGGGGGCUGCAGUAUGGCCAGCAGCUGCCCCAUGCAGAGGCGGUGUGAUUCCCCAGCUCUCAGUUUUCUGAAGGUUCACACUGAGUUCCUAGCACCAGACUCCCUCUGCUUUACACACACACUAGCCUAGACAUUAGGAAAAAAAUUACCUAAAUCAGCGGGGCACAGGGGCAUGUGCCUAGAAUCCCAGCUACUCAGGAGCCUGAAGAGGGAAGAUCACAAGUUGAGGCCAGCCUGGGCAACCUAGUGAGACCUGUCUCAAAGUUGAAAGGGCUGGAAUGCAGCUCAGUUGUGGAGCACCCCUGUGUUCAAUCCCUAGUACCACCAAAGAACAAUAAUUCACCUAAAUUCCAAAAACAAGUGAAGGCCUGACAUAGGAGUUUAGCUUAUGGCCCAGUUAAUCUAUAAUGGCAGGUCCUGGAGCCCAGCCUGUCACUUUCCCAUGUCCAUUUUUUGGUCUACAAGACAGCACCUCACAGACUCCUGGAAUAUUCUGAGGCCAGGCUCUCUGGGGCUUCACCCACUGCUCUUGGCCUGGAGUGCAGGGCAGCCAUGGCCCACCUGGACAGCUAGCUCCUAGUGAUGCAGGGGACAUUGGCUGGUACUACCCCCACGGGACAGAGGAUUUCAGGUGAAGAGCCUCCCAUGCUGGGACCUCCUUCUGAGUUGUUCCUAGGGGCUGUCCUGCCCAGGCUGGGUCACCGCAGUCCCAAGAGGAAGCCCAUAUUCUCAGUGCAGAUCUGAUGAAGUGGAAGUAUACAAAAGCAGGUGUCAGAGUUGGUGUAGGACACUUGUGUGCUCACCCUUCUGUAGCAUGUGGUCCUCAGUUGGAAGAGUUGCCCACGUUGCUGGGAUGUUUGAAGGCACUAGGUUGUCGAGCAGUGUUUGCCUCCUAGCCCACGUCUCAGUUCCUAAAGGUGAGAGGUUUUCAGAGUUCAGUAUCAUGGUGUCUGCAGCUUAUAUUCAGAUGUUGAACUAAAACCAGUGCCAACAACAAGUGUGUUCAUAUUGAGCUGCAGAGCAGAUUGGCCAGUGUUGACUCUGAGUGACGAGGUCGGAGGUUGGCACAUGUCUUCUGUGAAAGGCCAGAGAGCAACCAUUCCUGGCUCUGCAGCACACAGUUAUCAGGUGGUACAGCCCAGUGUAGAGCGAACGAGCCAGACUGGGUGCGGGCCAGAGCCCGUGGACCAGGCAGUAGCUGUCACUUUCCCAUUGUGGUACAGGGUUAGGGCACUGAACCCUCAAAGCUGGCAGACUUUUCCUUUGCAAACUUUCUAUAGGUCUUAAAGUCCUUCAGAACUAGAUGUUGGCCAGGAAGUUGGGAGACUUGGGUAGAGGACAUGCAUGGGAGCCAGAGAGUGGCCAAGAACAUCUCAGUCUGUGUCCUCUGAUGCUUGGUGUGCCAGGAGGAGGGUGACCUAGACAUCACAGCAGUCUCGGUAUUCACGUGCCCCCAUUGGUUUAUUUAUUUAUUUUUUUCCUCCUUUUGGUACUGGGGAUUGAACCCUGGGCUGCUCUACCACUGAGCUACAUCCCUAGCCCUUUUUAUUUUAUUUUGAGAUAGGAUCUCGCUAAGUUGCCCAGGCUGGACUUGAACUUGUGAUCCUCCUGCCUCGGCCUCCCAGGUAAUAGUGGGAUUUUACACAUGUGCCACCAUGCCCAGCUGCUUUGUGUUUUGUUUGCAAUAAUUUCUCCCUGCUGUUAUUGGGAAACAUCACUUUUAAUGAGUGCCUAAUGAUCUGUUGACUGAGAAAAUCAAAGCUGACUUAAUCAUCUCCUAGCCUGGUCACACAGAUUUGGGCUUAAAUUGUUA